Molecule: ribosomal RNA, 402 nt
Filed under: uncultured bacterium
Lineage: Bacteria
Description: bacterial SSU rRNA
Rfam family: Bacterial small subunit ribosomal RNA
Source: RNAcentral
UUUUGGACAAUGGGCGCAAGCCUGAUCCAGCCAUUCCGCGUGAGUGAAGAAGGCCUUCGGGUUGUAAAGCUCUUUCGCAAGGGAAGAAAACUUACUUUCUAAUAAAGAGUGAGGUUGACGGUACCUUGAUAAGAAGCACCGGCUAACUACGUGCCAGCAGCCGCGGUAAUACGUAGGGUGCGAGCGUUAAUCGGAAUUACUGGGCGUAAAGCGUGCGCAGGCGGCUUUGUAAGUCAGAUGUGAAAUCCCCGAGCUCAACUUGGGAACUGCGUUUGAAACUACAAGGCUAGAAUAUGUCAGAGGGGGGUAGAAUUCCACGUGUAGCAGUGAAAUGCGUAGAGAUGGGAGGAAUACCAAUGGCGAAGGCGGCCCCCUGGGAGUGGAUUGACGCUCAUGCACGAA